Non-coding RNA from Neurospora tetraspora, 89 nucleotides. The record is from the annotation of a RefSeq genome assembly. Lineage: Eukaryota; Fungi; Ascomycota; Sordariomycetes; Sordariales; Sordariaceae.
ACCUUACUGGUGUAUCGGUUAACAUGGCGGAUUCUCAAUCUUGGUUGAUCAAGUUUCCGCAGCGCAGGGUUCAACUCCCUGGUAGGGUA